UUUUAAUUGAAGGCUUGUAUGAAAGGUUGGACAAGAAGUUAGCUGUCUUUAUUUUUGGAUUUGAAUUUGUCUUUUAAGUGAAAAGACUUAAAUUAUUUUAAGGGACGAUAAGACCCUAUAAAUCUUUACAUUAAUAUAAUUUUAUUUAAAAUUUUGAUGUUAUGUGUAAUAAAAAGAUGAGAUGUUGUAUUGGGGUGAUAAGAAUAAAUAAUAAACUGUUCUAAUAAUAAACAAAGGUGUUUGAAAUAUUAAAGAUCCUUUUUAGAGAUUAAAAGUUUAAGUUACUUUAGGGAUAACAGCGUUAUUUUUUUUGAGAGUUCUAAUCGAAAAAAAAGUUUGCGACCUCGAUGUUGAAUUAAAAUUUCUUUAUGGUGUAGUUGUUAUAAGAGAAAGUCUGUUCGACUUUUAAAAUUUUACGUGAUCU
Molecule: ribosomal RNA, 424 nt
Filed under: Galathea inconspicua
Lineage: Eukaryota; Metazoa; Arthropoda; Malacostraca; Decapoda; Galatheidae
Description: partial 16S ribosomal RNA
Rfam family: Bacterial large subunit ribosomal RNA (bases 292-424)
Source: RNAcentral